RNAcentral lists this ribosomal RNA (253 nucleotides) under uncultured bacterium. RNAcentral's name for it is "partial 16S ribosomal RNA". It matches the Rfam family "Bacterial small subunit ribosomal RNA", at positions 524 to 776 of the family's 1533-position model. The record is from RNAcentral.
GACGAACCGAGCGAACGUUGUUCGGAAUCACUGGGCUUAAAGGGCGCGUAGGCGGGCCGCCGCGUCCGGGGUGAAAUCCUCCCGCUCAACGGGAGAACGGCCUCGGAUACGGGCGGCCUCGAGGGGGGUAGGGGCGUGCGGAACUGUGGGUGGAGCGGUGAAAUGCGUUGAUAUCCACAGGAACUCCGGUGGCGAAGGCGGCACGCUGGACCCCACCUGACGCUGAGGCGCGAAAGCCAGGGGAGCGAACGGG